UCAGACAUUUGCCUCUGAACGGUUAAGCAUUAUACAGGCUCUUAAUGGUUUAGAUCUCUUACUCGUUCAGCACUUAAUGGUUUAGACCUCUUACUGGUUCAACACUUAACCAUUUAGAUGUUGCAAACAACCCCAAAGUUUAUACACCCUGAUUGUUUUUGUUUGUAGCAAUAUGGCAGUUUCUGACAACAAUAUUGAGUUGGUGAUGGUUGUUUAAGAUUUAGUUUGACUACUCGAUCCAACUGUGAGACCCCUUAUUUCAGAUGUUCUUAAACAAAAGCAAUCAAGAAAAAAAUUGUUGUUCAAGAUGCUCUUAAAGAAAAGGCAUGUGACUUGUCCAUUAUCGGUUGUAUGGACAACAAGUGUGAGAUUUAAAGGCCAAAUGAGCUCCCUCACCCAUCAGACGAGCCUUUUCAGAUAUGUGCUAUUUGGGUUGUAACUUGUAAUUUAUUAGGUGAUUGUAUUUUCCCUGUUGCGCGUGCUUGGUUAGUUAGACUUGGUUGUAUAUGUACGCUAUCUUGGUUCCAUUGACUACGGUCCAUAUCUUGCUUUG
Long non-coding RNA from Helianthus annuus (common sunflower), 553 nucleotides. RefSeq lists it as uncharacterized. The record is from RefSeq and is a predicted model, not a curated record. The transcript is spliced from 2 exons. NCBI's taxonomy places the organism in Eukaryota, Viridiplantae, Streptophyta, Magnoliopsida, Asterales, Asteraceae.